RNAcentral lists this unclassified non-coding RNA (220 nucleotides) under Hevea brasiliensis (rubber tree). The record is from RNAcentral. Lineage: Eukaryota; Viridiplantae; Streptophyta; Magnoliopsida; Malpighiales; Euphorbiaceae.
GCUAGCUUUUAAUACGUUUAUUAUAUCACACUUUUAUUUUAAUAAAUCAAUAAUAUUUUAUUCAGAAAAAAUUAUCAAUAAUUUAAAAUUCUAAUUUCAUAUAUUAUAAAAUAAAUAUUUAACUAUUAAUUCAGUGACAUAAUAAUUACAUACGAAUGUAUCAAAUAUAUUUUUUAUUUUGUAUUUUUGUACGGAUAAAUUUGCAUCUAAAUGGGUAAUU